RNAcentral lists this ribosomal RNA (468 nucleotides) under uncultured bacterium. Its description in RNAcentral is "partial 16S ribosomal RNA". It matches the Rfam family "Bacterial small subunit ribosomal RNA", at positions 28 to 507 of the family's 1533-position model. The record is from RNAcentral.
GACGGACGCUGGCGGCGUGCUUAACACAUGCAAGUCGAACGGAAAGGCCCUGCUUUUGUGGGGUGCUCGAGUGGCGAACGGGUGAGUAACACGUGAGUAACCUGCCCUUGACUUUGGGAUAACUUCAGGAAACUGGGGCUAAUACCGGAUAGGAGCUCCUGCUGCAUGGUGGGGGUUGGAAAGUUUCGGCGGUUGGGGAUGGACUCGCGGCUUAUCAGCUUGUUGGUGGGGUAGUGGCUUACCAAGGCUUUGACGGGUAGCCGGCCUGAGAGGGUGACCGGCCACAUUGGGACUGAGAUACGGCCCAGACUCCUACGGGAGGCAGCAGUGGGGAAUAUUGCACAAUGGGCGGAAGCCUGAUGCAGCAACGCCGCGUGCGGGAUGACGGCCUUCGGGUUGUAAACCGCUUUCGCCUGUGGCGAAGCGUGAGUGACGGUAAUGGGUAAAGAAGCACCGGCUAACUACGUG